RNAcentral lists this transfer RNA (73 nucleotides) under Acromyrmex echinatior (Panamanian leafcutter ant). It matches the Rfam family "tRNA". From Rfam's summary of the family: Transfer RNA (tRNA) molecules are approximately 80 nucleotides in length. Their secondary structure includes four short double-helical elements and three loops (D, anti-codon, and T loops). The record is from Rfam by way of RNAcentral. Lineage: Eukaryota; Metazoa; Arthropoda; Insecta; Hymenoptera; Formicidae.
GUCUUGGUAGUCUAAAGGCUUAGGACGCUCGCACGGAAUGCAAGAGAUCUGGGUUCGACUCUCGGCCGAGGCA